GACGAACGCUGGCGGCGUGCUUAACACAUGCAAGUCGAACGGAAAGGCCCCCUUGUGGGGUACUCGAGUGGCGAACGGGUGAGUAACACGUGAGUAACCUACCCUUGACUUUGGGAUAACUUCAGGAAACUGGGGCUAAUACCGGAUAGGAGCUCCUGCUGCAUGGUGGGGGUUGGAAAGUUUCGGCGGUCGGGGAUGGACUCGCGGCUUAUCAGCUUGUUGGUGGGGUAGUGGCUCACCAAGGCUUUGACGGGUAGCCGGCCUGAGAGGGUGACCGGCCACAUUGGGACUGAGAUACGGCCCAGACUCCUACGGGAGGCAGCAGUGGGGAAUAUUGCACAAUGGGCGGAAGCCUGAUGCAGCAACGCCGCGUGCGGGAUGACGGCCUUCGGGUUGUAAACCGCUUUCGCCUGUGACGAAGCGUGAGUGACGGUAAUGGGUAAAGAAGCACCGGCUAACUACGUG
This 465-nucleotide ribosomal RNA is filed under the name uncultured bacterium. RNAcentral describes it as "partial 16S ribosomal RNA". It matches the Rfam family "Bacterial small subunit ribosomal RNA", at positions 28 to 507 of the family's 1533-position model. The record is from RNAcentral.